RNAcentral lists this non-coding RNA (652 nucleotides) under Pan troglodytes (chimpanzee). Lineage: Eukaryota; Metazoa; Chordata; Mammalia; Primates; Hominidae. The record is from RNAcentral.
GUUCCGGGUCUCCACGCCCUCCUGGUUUGCGGGCAGCCGCGAAGCCGCGAGUGGACCGAGCGAGUGCAGCUGCCUCCGCGGGGCCGCGCCUGGCCGCCGCCUCCCUUUACCUCCGGCCGCCCCGUGGCAGGUGCAGAAGCUGCAGAGGCCGCAGCAGCCCAGCGCGCCCCUUCCGUGUGGCCGCAUGCCACCCGCGCCGCGCCCAGCAUUCCAGCGUCCAACAGAGCAUGCGUGUACCAUUCCGGCAUUUGGCAACAACGCACCAGCAUUCCAGAGUCCAACAGAGCAUGCGUGCACCAUUCCGGCAUCCGGCAACAAUGUACCAGCAUUCCAGAGUCCAACAGAGCGUGCGUGCACCAUUCCAGCAUCCGGCAACAAUGCACCAGCAUUCCAGCGUCCAAAAGAGCAUCCGGCAACAUCCCGGUGUCCAGUGGCACAUGUGCACCUGGACGUUCCAGUGUGGUGAGCUUUCAGGCACGGAGCAAGGCCAAAGGGAUAAAAAGAUGAAGGUGACGCAGUACUCCCCCUUAUAGUGCCUACCGGCCUUAUAAGCCAGACAGAUCUGGAAAUAAAUAAUUCAUAAUAAAAAAUAAUUACAGAAUAAGAGGCAUAAUAACCAGAUAGAAAGUAUUGAGUAAAUCUGUAAGAAAUG